This 497-nucleotide ribosomal RNA is filed under the name uncultured bacterium. RNAcentral's name for it is "partial 16S ribosomal RNA". It matches the Rfam family "Bacterial small subunit ribosomal RNA", at positions 28 to 507 of the family's 1533-position model. The record is from RNAcentral.
GAUGAACGCUGGCGGCGUGCCUAAUACAUGCAAGUCGAGCGAACGGACGAGAAGCUUGCUUCUCUGAUGUUAGCGGCGGACGGGUGAGUAACACGUGGAUACCCUACCUAUAAGACUGGGAUAACUUCGGGAAACCGGAGCUAAUACCGGAUGAUAUUUUGAACCGCAUGGUUCAAAAGUGAAAGACGGUCUUGCUGUCACUUAUAGAUGGAUCCGCGCUGCAUUAGCUAGUUGGUAAGGUAACGGCUUACCAAGGCAACGAUGCAUAGCCGACCUGAGAGGGGGAUCGGCCACACUGGAACUGAGACACGGUCCAGACUCCUACGGGAGGCAGCAGUAGGGAAUCUUCCGCAAUGGGCGAAAGCAUGACGGAGCAACGCCGCGUGAGUGAUGAAGGUGUUCGGAUCGUAAAACUGUGUUAUUAGGGAAGAACAUAUGUGUAAGUAACUGUGCACAUCUUGACGGUACCUAAUCAGAAAGCCACGGCUAACUACGUG